RNAcentral lists this ribosomal RNA (420 nucleotides) under bacterium. Its description in RNAcentral is "partial 16S ribosomal RNA". It matches the Rfam family "Bacterial small subunit ribosomal RNA", at positions 355 to 776 of the family's 1533-position model. The record is from RNAcentral.
UGGGGGAUAUUGCACAAUGGGCGAAAGCCUGAUGCAGCGACGCCGCGUGGGGGAUGAAGGCUUUCGGGUUGUAAACCUCUUUCGCUAUCGUACAAGGCCCGCUUAGGGUGGGUUGAGGGUAGGUGGAGAAGAAGCGCCGGCUAACUACGUGCCAGCAGCCGCGGUAAUACGUAGGGCGCGAGCGUUGUCCGGAAGUAUUGGGCGUAAAGGGUUUGUAGGCGGCUUGUUGCGCCUGCUGUGAAAACGCGGGGCUUAACUUCGCGCGUGCAGUGGGUACGGGCAGGCUUGAGUGUGGUAGGGGUGACUGGAAUUCCAGGUGUAGCGGUGGAAUGCGCAGAUAUCUGGAGGAACACCGAUGGCGAAGGCAGGUCACUGGGCCAUUACUGACGCUGAGGAGCGAAAGCAUGGGUAGCGAACAGG